UCUCAUGGGACGGUUGUGAUACUUAAAUAAUAUAUAAACGAAUAAAACCAAUUAAAUUAUUUUGAACCCCUAC
Pangasianodon gigas (Mekong giant catfish) is the source of this 73-nucleotide non-coding RNA. The record is from the annotation of a GenBank genome assembly. NCBI's taxonomy places the organism in Eukaryota, Metazoa, Chordata, Actinopteri, Siluriformes, Pangasiidae.